This 379-nucleotide unclassified non-coding RNA is filed under the name uncultured cyanobacterium. RNAcentral describes it as "contains 16S-23S intergenic spacer region". Lineage: Bacteria; Bacillati; Cyanobacteriota. The record is from RNAcentral.
UCCGGUUUGUCACCGGCAGUCACGCCAGAGUGCCCGGCUUUACCCGUUGGCAACUGGCAUCGAGGGUUGCGCUCGUUGCGGGACUUAACCCAACAUCUCACGACACGAGCUGACGACAGCCAUGCACCACCUGUCUUGGAGUUCCUUGCGGCACUCCCCUGUUUCCAGGGGAUUCUCCAGAUGUCAAGCCUUGGUAAGGUUCUUCGCGUUGCAUCGAAUUAAACCACAUGCUCCACCGCUUGUGCGGGCCCCCGUCAAUUCCUUUGAGUUUCAGUCUUGCGACCGUACUCCCCAGGCGGGAUACUUAACGCGUUAGCUACGGCACUGGGGGAGUCGAUACCCCCAACACCUAGUAUCCAUCGUUUACGGCUCGGACUAC